CCUACGGGCGGCUGCAGUGGGGAAUAUUGCACAAUGGGCGCAAGCCUGAUGCAGCCAUGCCGCGUGUGUGAAGAAGGCCUUCGGGUUGUAAAGCACUUUCAGCGGGGAGGAAGGCGUUAAGGUUAAUAACCUUGGCGAUUGACGUUACCCGCAGAAGAAGCACCGGCUAACUCCGUGCCAGCAGCCGCGGUAAUACGGAGGGUGCAAGCGUUAAUCGGAAUUACUGGGCGUAAAGCGCACGCAGGCGGUCUGUCAAGUCGGAUGUGAAAUCCCCGGGCUCAACCUGGGAACUGCAUUCGAAACUGGCAGGCUAGAGUCUUGUAGAGGGGGGUAGAAUUCCAGGUGUAGCGGUGAAAUGCGUAGAGAUCUGGAGGAAUACCGGUGGCGAAGGCGACCACCUGGACAAAGACUGACGCUCAGGUGCGAAAGCGUGGGGAGCAAACAGGAUUAGAUACCCGAGUAGUC
Molecule: ribosomal RNA, 465 nt
Filed under: uncultured Klebsiella sp.
Lineage: Bacteria; Pseudomonadati; Pseudomonadota; Gammaproteobacteria; Enterobacterales; Enterobacteriaceae
Description: bacterial SSU rRNA
Rfam family: Bacterial small subunit ribosomal RNA
Source: RNAcentral